UUUGAUUUACUAUGACAUAAUUUGUUGCGAUAAUACUUAGAAAACAUAAAAAUUAAAAAUAACUAUGCAAGUUUUCAUCAAAAGUUAAAAAAAUAAUGCCAAUAAAAAUUUCAAGUUUUUUAGGAAAGCUUUCACAAGUUUAAGCUUUUGAAAGUGAAAUCUCAAAACUAUUUACCAGCUUGAAAUAGUAUUACAGAUAAGACAAGGUUUUUGAAAGCUUUCACUAACAGUGUGAAAGAUAUGCCUAUAAAUAUUUUAAUUUUAUGUAUGAAAGCUUUUGCCUUGCUUCAAAAAGCUUUCGAAAUUUUUGGCUUUCAUCAAAAAUGUGCGUUUAAACACAAAACGCUUUUCAAAGCUUACGCCCACACAAUGAAAAACAUGUCUUUAAAAUAUUUUAAAAUGACAAAUAAGUAUGUGGGAAAGCUCUUAAAGUUUUUGGCUUUCACCAAAAUAUGUACUUAAACUUAAUGUCCUUCAUAUUCUUGAGAACAUAGAAAACUAUUUUCGAGAAAGUUUUAAAGUUUUUACGAAUGCUUUAAAAAGCCGUGGCUUUCACCAAACGCAAAGCCGUUAAUAUUUAUUUUUAUUUUUAUUAAAGCUUAAACAAGCUUUAGCUUACACCAAAUACUUGAAAAUUAUGUAGAGCUUUUGAUUUGUAGGAAAGCUUUCACUAGCAAAAAUCUAAUAAAAGAAAACGCUUUAUGAAAGCUUAAACAAGCUUUAGCUUAUACCAAAUACUUGAAAAUUAUGCAGAGCUUUGAGAAUUGUAGGAAAGCUUUCACUAGCAAAAAUCUAAUAAAAAGAAAACGCUAAAGUUUGCGCU
This is a long non-coding RNA of Bactrocera dorsalis (oriental fruit fly), 823 nucleotides long. RefSeq lists it as uncharacterized. NCBI's taxonomy places the organism in Eukaryota, Metazoa, Arthropoda, Insecta, Diptera, Tephritidae. The record is from RefSeq and is a predicted model, not a curated record. The transcript has 2 exons.